UACGGAGGAUGCAAGCGUUAUCCGGAUUUAUUGUGUUUAAGGGUGCGCAGGUUGUUUGAUAAGUCAGUGGUGAAAGUCUGUCGCUUAACGGUAGGAUUGCCAUUGAUACUGUUAGACUUGAAUAUGGAUGAGGUAGGCGGAAUGUGUAGUGUAGCGGUGAAAUGCAUAGAUAUUACACAGAACACCGAUUGCGAAGGCAGCUUACUAAUCCAUCAUUGACGCUGAGGCACGAAAGCGUGGGGAUCAAACA
Molecule: ribosomal RNA, 250 nt
Filed under: uncultured prokaryote
Description: partial 16S ribosomal RNA
Rfam family: Bacterial small subunit ribosomal RNA
Source: RNAcentral